RNAcentral lists this ribosomal RNA (1968 nucleotides) under Triticum aestivum (bread wheat). Its description in RNAcentral is "partial small subunit ribosomal RNA". The record is from RNAcentral. Lineage: Eukaryota; Viridiplantae; Streptophyta; Magnoliopsida; Poales; Poaceae.
CAAUAAUUCAGCCUUUUUUUUCCUAACGUCUCCGGGAGAGAGGGGGCAUGCUCCUACGCUCUGCGGGGCUGCCAUCCCAAGGGAAGCGGCGGCGCGGCGGUACGGCGGCGAAGGCCGUCGGGAGCGGUGGUAGAAGGCAGGGGUUAGCGGCAACAUCAGGAGGGGGCGGACAUUUAUCGGAACUGUCUCGGGAUCGGUGGCAGAGGGACCUCGUGCCGCGGGCGGCUAUAAGUGCUACCUCGCGGCCACCUGCAGGACUAGCACCCGCUCCUGGGGCGGCUCCGCUGAUUGGAGCGGUGGCGCGCUGAGGGGGUCGUAGAGACGGUAGCGGAGCGCGACGGCACACGUUCCUGGUUCCUAUGGUGGCCGAGAGGAACUAUAGAGACAGAGGUGAGGGGGCUCCACGCUCCUGAAGCGGCCGCAGUUUCGGUGACGGCCCGCCCUGCGCGUCCGCGGGCUCCCCGCGCCGCGAGGAGAGGACCACGCCGCGUGUUCCCUUCCUCCUCCCCUAGCUCGACGGCCGUGUGGUGGGUGGCAAGCGGGGACCAGGUCUGAAACAGCCUUGAGGUAGACAGCCAAGACGUGAAUCCGGUUCAACUCGUAUACAAUCUACCAGAUCUACUGUACCUACCACAGCUCCUACACGCAAAACUACUCGAGUAUCCGUACGUUCCGCAUCAUAAAGUGAACCAACCCUUGCGUUAAUGUGCGUAUGGCCUGUUCAAACGCUCGUCAAAGUAGUCUGUCUACGUCUGGAGUCUCCCCGAGCUGGACUUUGACUUUCGUGGCUCGCCACUCUGUACCGUACACCCACAGUCGUUCCAACGGUUACUCGACAAGAACUCCAGUCCUACCCCUCCAAAGCGAUUCCGAGUACUUGACGUCCUCUUACUGGAGAACGAGAAGUGUACGUGACCGUUACGGAGGAAGCUCCAGGAUUAGAAGCUGGGCUCACCGACGCUCUUUGACAGAGGAGAGAAGCGGCCGUCUUACGCGUUUGUGAAACUGUUAUACCACCCAGUUCCGCCGCAACUCGUUAUGGGACUAAGACUACUAUGAUCCCACGGCAGAGUCAAACAACCUAGGGGAGUUUUCCGGAGAUGAAGUUCUUUUACGUCACCGUUUUGAUUUAGUUCGUUUCUCGAAGGACUUAGUGGUUCGUCGUGGUCGACAGUACAAUUCGAACUCCGUUGACUCCUUGUCUUCUCACUACUACUGUGUACGUGACUCGGGCCAAUGAUGAGAAGCUCCUGACGUUCAGUCGAUUUACUCCUACUUUUUGUCCUUUAGUACCUCGCACGAAGGUAGGCUGGCCCCUUAGGGCGUAAGCACCACCAAGACGACUACUGGGUAGAGGUUGCGUUCUUGUUGAAAGACUGGUAGGGGUCAUUUAAACGUCGACUAGUAGAAGUCUCGUUCGGCGCACUCCAGGACGACGAAUCCGACUCGUCUCUUCUGUUCACCGUACAGUCCACGAUGAUAAGGUCGUCCUGGUCUACGAAGUUGACGGUUGCAACCCAGUUCAAACACUCCCUGUUACCCGACGCGCUCCCGCUGCAGACGCAGAAACUCGACUAGUUUCCGCGUUCCUUCUACUGUUGCUACUGGCAGGUACAACGGUCCUCCUUCUUUCUACCGGCCAAACAGCGGCCUGUUACCCGACGCGCUCCCGCUGCAGACGCAGAAACUCGACUAGUUUCCGCGUUCCUUCUACUGUUGCUACUGGCAGGUACAGCGGUCCUCCUUCUUUCUACCGGCCAAACAGUGGCACCCGAUUAAUAUUCAAGGACGGGUGGGAAAGAGGAUGUAAAACCAUACGUUAUACAACAUGGCUGGACGGUGAGGUUUGACUUGGACGACAUGGACCACUACGUAAACGUACUUUUACGUUACCGUGUAAAAAAUCGGAACAAUUACUAUUAGUACGAUUGUUCGUGAAGUAAUAUACCGAGUAUAAAAUUCUUCAAG